RNAcentral lists this ribosomal RNA (193 nucleotides) under Fusarium sp. RNAcentral's name for it is "partial large subunit ribosomal RNA". It matches the Rfam family "Eukaryotic large subunit ribosomal RNA", at positions 82 to 278 of the family's 3401-position model. Lineage: Eukaryota; Fungi; Ascomycota; Sordariomycetes; Hypocreales; Nectriaceae. The record is from RNAcentral.
AGUAACGGCGAGUGAAGCGGCAACAGCUCAAAUUUGAAAUCUGGCUUUCGGGCCCGAGUUGUAAUUUGUAGAGGAUACUUUUGAUGCGGUGCCUUCCGAGUUCCCUGGAACGGGACGCCAUAGAGGGUGAGAGCCCCGUCUGGUUGGAUGCCAAAUCUCAGUAAAGUUCCUUCGACGAGUCGAGUUGUUUGGG